Transfer RNA from Candidatus Halobonum tyrrellensis G22, 73 nucleotides. It matches the Rfam family "tRNA". From Rfam's summary of the family: Transfer RNA (tRNA) molecules are approximately 80 nucleotides in length. Their secondary structure includes four short double-helical elements and three loops (D, anti-codon, and T loops). NCBI's taxonomy places the organism in Archaea, Methanobacteriati, Methanobacteriota, Halobacteria, Halobacteriales, Haloferacaceae. The record is from Rfam.
AGUCCCGUGGUGUAGUGGCCAAUCAUGAGGGCCUUUGGAGCCUUCGACGGCGGUUCGAAUCCGCCCGGGACUA